RNAcentral lists this ribosomal RNA (468 nucleotides) under uncultured bacterium. RNAcentral's name for it is "partial 16S ribosomal RNA". It matches the Rfam family "Bacterial small subunit ribosomal RNA", at positions 28 to 507 of the family's 1533-position model. The record is from RNAcentral.
GACGAACGCUGGCGGCGUGCUUAACACAUGCAAGUCGAAUGGAAAGGCCCUGCUUUUGUGGGGUGCUCGAGUGGCGAACGGGUGAGUAACACGUGAGUAACCUGCCCUUGACUUUGGGAUAACUUCAGGAAACUGGGGCUAAUACCGGAUAGGAGCUCCUGCUGCAUGGUGGGGGUUGGAAAGUUUCGGCGGUUGGGGAUGGACUCGCGGGUUAUCAGCUUGUUGGUGGGGUAGUGGCUUACCAAGGCUUUGACGGGUAGCCGGCCUGAGAGGGUGACCGGCCACAUUGGGACUGAGAUACGGACCAGACUCCUACGGGAGGCAGCAGUGGGGAAUAUUGCACAAUGGGCGGAAGCCUGAUGCAGCAACGCCGCGUGCGGGAUGACGGCCUUCGGGUUGUAAACCGCUUUCGCCUGUGACGAAGCGUGAGUGACGGUAAUGGGUAAAGAAGCACCGGCUAACUACGUG